AUGAACGCUAGCUACAGGCUUAACACAUGCAAGUCGAACGGCAGCACAGGGAGCUUGCUCCCGGGUGGCGAGUGGCGCACGGGUGAGUAAUACAUCGGAACGUGUCCUGUUGUGGGGGAUAACUGCUCGAAAGGGUGGCUAAUACCGCAUGAGACCUGAGGGUGAAAGCGGGGGAUCGCAAGACCUCGCGCAAUUGGAGCGGCCGAUGCCCGAUUAGCUAGUUGGUGAGGUAAAGGCUCACCAAGGCGACGAUCGGUAGCUGGUCUGAGAGGACGACCAGCCACACUGGGACUGAGACACGGCCCAGACUCCUACGGGAGGCAGCAGUGGGGAAUCUUCCGCAAUGGGCGAAAGCCUGACGGAGCAACGCCGCGUGAGUGAUGACGGCCUUCGGGUUGUAAAGCUCUGUGAUCGGGGACGAACGGUCCGUAAGCUAAUACCUUAUGGAAGUGACGGUACCCGAAUAGCAAGCCACGGCUAACUACGUG
This 488-nucleotide ribosomal RNA is filed under the name uncultured bacterium. RNAcentral describes it as "bacterial SSU rRNA". It matches the Rfam family "Bacterial small subunit ribosomal RNA", at positions 29 to 507 of the family's 1533-position model. The record is from RNAcentral.